UACAUGUACUUAGAGUACUGCACUGGAAAAAUAGCCUCAGGCUGAGCAGUGAGGUUGUGGUGGAGUUGUAAAAACGGUACGUGCUUAAACGAGUCACUGGCCUAAAAUGAGUAGAGAUUACUGUAUAUGCUUAUGGAGAAUUUUAUCUGCAUUUUUUUACAGCUUUAGCUUACCUCUGACCCGAGUCACAACACAGGGGUCUUGUCAGCCGAGUGUAUGGCACUUCCAGCAAAAACGCAAUUAGACUGGAAGGGUGGUAGCUUUAUUAUCAUGCUUCACGAACAUCAGACAUGAGCACUGCAGUGGAUUGACUUCUUCAGGAAGAUGACUGUCAGCUAUCACAGUGAGGUUGACCAGUAAGCUCGAGGCAGAGACUCAAGUAGUGAAGGUGGGUGAAACUAAACUGCCAUCAUUUUCCAUAAGCACCCAGAAUCGAUAAAAGCGUCUAAGAAAACGUCAUAAAAAAGCCAUUAAAAUCAUUUUGAGACAACGAAAA
Trichomycterus rosablanca is the source of this 496-nucleotide long non-coding RNA. RefSeq lists it as uncharacterized. The transcript has 2 exons. The record is from RefSeq and is a predicted model, not a curated record. Lineage: Eukaryota; Metazoa; Chordata; Actinopteri; Siluriformes; Trichomycteridae.